Molecule: transfer RNA, 64 nt
Filed under: Bostrichoidea sp. 1 KM-2017
Lineage: Eukaryota; Metazoa; Arthropoda; Insecta; Coleoptera
Description: tRNA-Pro
Source: RNAcentral
CAGAGAAUAGUUUAAGUUAAAAUAUUGAUUUUGGAGAUCAAUGAUAUAUUAUAUUUUUCUCUGA